CGGUGUUUAACUGGCGUGAUGUGGGACGUCCUACCGGUGGGCUUAGCCUCGCGAGGGGCGGCCCAACUAAUAUCCCGUCGCGGUGCUCUUUACUGAGUGUCGAGUCGGGCCGGUACGUUUACUUUGAACAAAUUAGAGUGCUUAAAGCAGGCUAUCCUCGCCUGAAUACUGCGUGCAUGGAAUAAUGGAAUAGGACCUCGGUUCUAUUUUGUUGGUUUUCGGAACCCCGAGGUAAUGAUUAAUAGGGACAGAUGGGGGCAUUCGUAUUGCGACGUUAGAGGUGAAAUUCUUGGAUCGUCGCAAGACGGACAGAAGCGAAAGCAUUUGCCAAAAAUGUUUUCAUUAAUCAAGAACGAAAGUUAGAGGUUCGAAGGCGAUCAGAUACCGCCCUAGUUCUAACCAUAAACGAUGCCAGCUAGCGAUCCGCCGAAGUUCCUCCGAUGACUCGGCGGGCAGCUUCCGGGAAACCAAAGCUUUUGGGUUCCGGGGGAAGUAUGGUUGCAAAGCUGAAACUUAAAGAGAAUUGGACGGAAGGGCACCACCAGGAGUGGAGCCUGCGGCUUAAUUUGACUCAACACGGGAAACCUCACCAGGCCCAGACACCGGAAGGAUUGACAGAUUGAUAGAUCUUUUUUGAUUUGGUGGGGGGUGGUGCAUGGCCGUUUUUAGUUGGUGGAGAGAUUUGUGUGGUUAAUUCUGAUAACGAACGAGACUCUAGCCUGCUAAAUAGGCGUACCUUAUGGUAUCGCGAAGGCCCCCGGCUUCGGCCGGUGGGUUUUUACUACCAACGUACAAACAAAUCUUCUAGAGGGACAGGCGG
Molecule: ribosomal RNA, 820 nt
Filed under: uncultured eukaryote
Lineage: Eukaryota
Description: SSU rRNA
Rfam family: Eukaryotic small subunit ribosomal RNA
Source: RNAcentral